This 520-nucleotide unclassified non-coding RNA is filed under the name uncultured Entrophospora. RNAcentral's name for it is "SSU rRNA". It matches the Rfam family "Eukaryotic small subunit ribosomal RNA", at positions 569 to 1084 of the family's 1831-position model. The record is from RNAcentral. Lineage: Eukaryota; Fungi; Glomeromycota; Glomeromycetes; Entrophosporales; Entrophosporaceae.
AGCAGCCGCGGUAAUCCCAGCUCCAAUAGCGUAUAUUAAAGUUGUUGCAGUUAAAAAGCUCGUAGUUGAAUUUCGGGAUUGACGUGAUGGUCGUGCCUUACGGGGUAUGAACUGUUGCAGUCAAUUUCUCACCUUCUGGAGAAAUAUGAUGUCCUUAAUUGGGUGUCAUAUGGAACCAGAACUUUUACCUUGAAAAAAUUAGAGUGUUUAAAGCAGGCUUAUUGCUCGAAUACAUUAGCAUGGAAUAAUAAAAUAGGACGGCAUGGUUCUAUUUUGUUGGUUUCUAGGAUCACCGUAAUGAUUAAUAGGGAUAGUUGGGGGCAUUAGUAUUCAAUUGUCAGAGGUGAAAUUCUUGGAUUUAUUGAAGACUAACUACUGCGAAAGCAUUUGCCAAGGAUGUUUUCAUUAAUCAAGAACGAAAGUUAGGGGAUCGAAGACGAUCAGAUACCGUCGUAGUCUUAACCAUAAACUAUGCCGACUAGGAAUCAGACGAUGUUAAUUUUUUAAUGACUCGUUUGGC